RNAcentral lists this ribosomal RNA (254 nucleotides) under uncultured bacterium. RNAcentral's name for it is "partial 16S ribosomal RNA". It matches the Rfam family "Bacterial small subunit ribosomal RNA", at positions 524 to 776 of the family's 1533-position model. The record is from RNAcentral.
GACGAACCGUGCGAACGUUAUUCGGAAUCACUGGGCUUAAAGCGCGUGUAGGCGGGUCGGCACGUCGGUCGCUGAAAUCCCCCGGCUUAACCGGGGAACUGGCGUCGAUACGACCGCCCUGGAGGGGCGUAGGGGGACCUGGAACUUCCGGUGGAGCGGUGAAAUGCGUUGAGAUCGGAAGGAACGCCCGUGGCGAAAGCGAGGUCCUGGACGCCUACUGACGCUGAGACGCGAAAGCCAGGGGAGCGAACGGG